Trematomus bernacchii (emerald rockcod) is the source of this 286-nucleotide long non-coding RNA. RefSeq lists it as uncharacterized. The record is from RefSeq and is a predicted model, not a curated record. Lineage: Eukaryota; Metazoa; Chordata; Actinopteri; Perciformes; Nototheniidae. The transcript has 2 exons.
GGCCCUCAUCUAGGCCCUCAUCUAGGCCCUCACGACAAGCUGAAGCAGACACUGUGCGGGCCCUGUACAAACGGACCCUAGUCCAAAGCAUCCAAUUGAAUGACCUCCUCAUAGAGCACCAGAAGCUGUUGAUGGAAAAAACAAAGCUGGAGGUGGAGAAAUUGGAGAGAGAAAGACAGGUAAUUUUGUAACAUUCAGUAAUUUUUUUUCAAGUCAAAUGAAAGGUGCAUAAGGUGACCUUUACAUCUUUUAGGAUACCUAAAACACAAAUCCCUUUUGUCUUUAA